This 1331-nucleotide long non-coding RNA is filed under the name Hordeum vulgare. RNAcentral's name for it is "long non-coding RNA (HVUL_LNC013930)". The record is from RNAcentral. Lineage: Eukaryota; Viridiplantae; Streptophyta; Magnoliopsida; Poales; Poaceae.
UCAAAAAGGCGCUACCUCAGAAUUACUGUUGAUCGUGAUCACAUCACAUCUCAAAUCGUUCAUAAGUUCCGACCAGUCAUAUCGACCCCAUUCAAAUCGUAAAACACACACUGAAUUGUGGCAUAAUCAUAGUCAAAAUCAGUCAAACGACUGCAAUAGACACUGAAUCUGCUCAGGGGAAAAAAUAAUCAAGGAAACAAAUUGCUAAGGGAAAUAAAGUCUUUAAGUUCAGUUGCAAUUUUUUCUUCAACCCACUGCGUAGAGCCUCAUCUCACUUCGAUUUCACGAAUGUUAUAUCCCCACGAGAGCACAUCAUAUAGGGUUCUCUGCAGUCAGAAUAGCAGCGGUUAGUACAUUCACUCAUACAUAACCAGUGACAUUAAACAUAAUGAAAACAGUGCUCAUGCAAAAUUAUAUUCUCCUACAUUAUCCCAAUGUUCGAACAUUAUAAAGGGCAACAUAUGACAAUUCAAUGAACUAUCCUAAUUCGUUACUGUCUCUUUGUCCACUUCGUCUGAAAGAAAGCAAAAUUCAUAUAAUCUCAGAUAACCCAGAAUGUAAACAAGUAGGAAGCUUACUCUGCCUACACAGUUUCCAUGGGCUGACUCUGGCCUCUCUGAGUCCCUCGCACUUUCUUGAAUUUAGCAAUUAUACAUUCAGGUCGGCUUAGAUUUCCCAGCCACUGUGUCGCUUUCUUGAACAUAGUCUUUAUGCGCUUAAUCACCAUCUGAAAGAGAAAAAAAGAAUCAAAGGACAUAUGUAUGAUACCUUACUACUUUUUAAUUUGAAAUCAUCAGUCGUGAUCAAGAGGCAUUGUACCUCUGUCGGCUGAAAGUAAUUCAGCCAAAUGACCACCGUCAUGCACAAGACGACACAUGCAAAAGGCCAUACAACUGAUUUGGAAACACCUCUACAAACACACAGUGUUAUAAAUGGUGCUGCGCACAACCACAGAAGUAUUAAAAGCUGCACUAUUUGUAGGACUUUGAAUCCAAGAUUUUCAGGCAAUGCUCCCUCCUUGAAGCUUGAAGCAGGACCUAUCAGAAUAAGGCUGAUGAUGGUCACUACAAUGUGUGCUGUGGGAAUGAUGUCCUUCCAAGUGCCAAAAUUUGCAUUUGAGCAAAAUAAAGUCCAAUUAGGAAUGAGAAACCCUGAGCAAGCAAGUGAGGCGAUCGCAGUGUUCAAGACAAAACCAUGCCUACCCUGAGUUCAGACAAAGCAGUAAGAAAAAUUGGCGCAGCUACAGAGCUUUUGGUAUAGUCUAAUGCCAGGGAAAGGAUAAUCACCUUCAUUUUCUUCUCAUUCUCAUCAGAAUCAUUUUCAUCAUCAGG